UUGCCAGUAAUCUAACAUCUGCUUAACUUUUUAAGUGUUCUGCAGAAACUAAAAAUUAUGCUGGCAAUACUAAAGCCAGGGUACGAGCCUUGAAGACUUUUUAGUCAUUAAGGUCCCAGUAAAUGGCUACAUUA
Molecule: small nucleolar RNA, 134 nt
Organism: Euleptes europaea (tarantolino)
Lineage: Eukaryota; Metazoa; Chordata; Lepidosauria; Squamata; Sphaerodactylidae
Product: small nucleolar RNA SNORA33
Exons: 1
Source: RefSeq, a predicted model, not a curated record